This 673-nucleotide long non-coding RNA is filed under the name Physcomitrium patens. RNAcentral describes it as "long non-coding RNA (PPAT_LNC013382)". Lineage: Eukaryota; Viridiplantae; Streptophyta; Bryopsida; Funariales; Funariaceae. The record is from RNAcentral.
UCUCCAUAAAAAUAAAAAUAAAAUCAAACGAAAUCCAAUACCUUCCACCUCAAGCUUUUACGUCAAGUUCACCACAUAUGUUGUAUUACGUGCUUUUUUGCUCGAGAACGCGUCGGGCGUCUGGCUGUAGAAGGUAGCAUGGAAAUUCACUAAUAUUCAAGCAGUGUAUUGGUUUUUUACUGUUGGAAUAUAAAUGACUACAAGAAUAUAUCAUAAAUCUAUACGGAUGUCCUUCAACUGCUCACCAAAAUCUUUUUUGUCCCAGCCGGUAGGUCUCUAGAUGUUACAAAGAAUCCUAAACAACCCAAUCUGCUAAUCUCCGAUAUUGCUUUAUACUCAUGACCUUGUAUCCACUGACUGUCUUGUUAGAUUAAACCAAAAAUUUUCAUUCACUCCACAUACUCAAUCCUAUAGACACCCUUUUAAUUCUUCAAUCACAGAUGUAACUUUGAUUUCACAAAACAGUCAAGAGUAAUCACACCUACUUCAUUAAAACCUCGAUUCACCAGUACAACACAUCGACCUUUCAGCAUUGAUUGCCAGAAGUCUUCUCAAAAUCCUAUGAAGAAAAAAAAAAACUCCAAUUCCCUCCUUUUUUCUCCCCCGAAGCAUGAAGCUAGCUCUUCGACCCUUAAAAUCCUAAUUCUCCCCUCUUUCAUUUCUUAACCUAUCC